CCCUAAAGAGCACCUCCACUGCCCCUUCCAACCACGGCAGCUCCAUGGCCAGGGACGAACCCUUCGCCGCCGCCGUGGACGUUGCCGACGGCGACUCAACCUCCUCCAGCCCAACCCUCACGCGCCUACGGGAAGCACUCGCCGCCCUCUCCGAGGCGUUCGAGUCCGGCGACGCCGCCUCCUCCGACGCAGCAGCCGCCGCCGUCGCCGAGAUCCUCAGCGCGUCCGAUGCCGACGCGUCCGCCGCGCUCGCCGAGCAGAUGCUCCGCGAGGUCCACGCGUUCCUCUCGUCCCCGUCCUCGAAUCAGAUGGCCAUGGACGCGCUGUCUCUGGAGCUUCCCAAGCCUGUGGCGAAGCUGGGUGCUCGGAUGGGGAAUUGCCGGGACAUUGCCAGGACUAUCAUUGAGUUCUUUGCGUCGAAUUGCAGCCCAAGGGACAUGCUCUGCAUCCUCUGCGAGGCAUUAGAUACACCAGUGGCAUUAAAUGGAUCAGCAUAUCUUGUUAUUCUACUAGAUGGGCUUGCCAGCACGCUUAUUUUGAUUCAGAGGAGACAUAUUGAGCAAGUAAAGGUCGUACUUCCUGCCAUCCUUCGAGUUAUGCAUGCUAAUUUAUCAGAAUGUGAUGAGGAACAUGGAAUGUCUGCUGUUGAUCUGUUCAGUGCAGCCCUCAGAAUAGGCAAUGCUAUACAAGAAAUGUGCAAAACAAUGGUCAACCACAGGAAGGAAGAGCUAUGUUCUAUACUUGGUCUAUACGCCCUUCAAAACAUAGCUCUUUUGCAGGCUCUUGUAUCAUCAGAAAGCAAACAUCAGAAUAUUCAGUCUACUUGUGGUUCAGUUGUUCUUCAAUAUUCUAAACUUCUUAUGUUUUGCGGGUUCACCUAUUUGGGUCUUUUAACUGGUAAUGAUGUGACCUCAGCCACCACUAAGCUUUCUAAAGAAGAGGACGACAAUUUUCUGGACUGCUUUUCUUUUGCUAUGGACGGUGCAAGUCUUGUAGUUGUGUGGACCUCUAUGCAUGAUGAUAUGUCAAAAUAUGCUGGAGCAGAGUUUGAAUCAGCACUGAAAGAAGUUCAAGACAAUUGUAUUAGGAAAUGGGAAGCAAUCAACAUGUUUAGAUAUGUCUUGUCUUCAGUUAAUUACUCAUGGGCAAUCAAAUCUCACAGUCUGGACUUAUUGUUGACUUUAGUUGAUGAUAAGUGUAGUGAGGAAACCAACGAUCAUGUAGAUUUCCCAUGUUCCACUCAAAUUUUUGCCAUACUCAAGGCCAUUGAAAGAGUCAUGAUAGCUGCCCCAGAUACGUUGAUGCGGAAGAAAGCCUUUUCUGCCCUGAAAAGGGUUAUUUCAGUGGUGCCAUCCACUCAGAGAUUUGAUAUCUUACAGGCCCUCAUUGAGAAUAGUAUGUUCCCCUCCUUGACUGCAAUUCUUUUAGAUCUGGUGAAGAAUGAAGUUUUGAGAGAGAGCCGUCGAGCUGAUCAGGUUAAUGGAUCUGAUCGAUCACAAGAUUCUGGGGAAUCACCACCCUGGGCUUCUCAGGUGCUUGAGUUAGUGGAGCUGAUCUUGAGGCCUCCAGAAGGUGGUCCUCCUUGUCUUCGUGAUCACAGUGAAGAGGAUAGGGUGCCACUCAGACUGGUAAGCUAUCCCACUGAGAAUUGCAAUCCCAAAUACUUGCAAGGGAAAUUCCCAAUCUGGCAGGGGACCAGAGGCCAUACCGAAAAUUGUCAAAGCUUCUCCAGCUAUCGUCGUGAAUGAAAGAGACAAGCUGAGAAUCUAGAACACUGUCAGGCAAUCGUGCGUUCCAGCGAAGACAAGCUGAGAAUGAAAGCUUCAAGGAUCUUCUCAACCAUAUUUCCGUCGGGGACUGAAGCCUUGAGUCCUAAGCAGCAUCUAAACGCAUAAUCACUGCAUCGGCAAUCACUUGCCGCAUUCCUGAAAAGAGUGAUCCAGAACGCUUUAAGGGGUCAGCGAUCGCUGGACUGCACUUCCACGCGGCUGGACUGCACUUCCACGCCUCCUUGAUAGCCUCCUUAAAUCCUUCCAGCUUGGCCCAGAAUUCACAUCGCUCCUGGGGGAAAAGCCCGCAUUUAUUAGAGGGAGAUGAAAAGGAAAAUGAUCGGAGAUAGCAGUUGAUAGCACCUGUAGUAGGCAGUCAGGAUAAAACAGUUCCCAGUCCACUGUCUAUGAUGAUAUUUUGAGCAUCGACGUCAUUUCUCCAAGCAUGUGUUUUCGAAGUGUUAUCUGCUCUGAACUUGCUCAGAUUGAUUCUGAUAAUAGAUUCAAGAGGAUCCAGAUCAGCAAAAAUGUUGCGGGACGAAAAAAUACGAGCCGUGUACUCAGAGUGGCUGCUCCCACUAAGAUCAGUUGUUACAGGGAUUCAAUCGGAACUCGAGAAAGACGGCGGUGACGACGAAAAUCAGAUGGCGUGCUUGUUAAAUCCUGUUCAACUCGUACUUCACCGCUGCAUUGAGUUGGUGGAGGAAAAGAUGAAAGGUUUGUAAUGCUUGUACAGUGCUUAGCGCAGUGUUGG
RNA transcript from Aegilops tauschii subsp. strangulata, 2523 nucleotides. It is a transcript of the gene named aberrant root formation protein 4, with no coding region annotated. The record is from RefSeq and is a predicted model, not a curated record. NCBI's taxonomy places the organism in Eukaryota, Viridiplantae, Streptophyta, Magnoliopsida, Poales, Poaceae.